This 29-nucleotide non-coding RNA is filed under the name Rattus norvegicus (Norway rat). The record is from RNAcentral. Lineage: Eukaryota; Metazoa; Chordata; Mammalia; Rodentia; Muridae.
UAGAAACUUAGAGGUAGCACAUUCUCUUC